RNAcentral lists this ribosomal RNA (466 nucleotides) under uncultured bacterium. Its description in RNAcentral is "partial 16S ribosomal RNA". It matches the Rfam family "Bacterial small subunit ribosomal RNA", at positions 28 to 507 of the family's 1533-position model. The record is from RNAcentral.
GAUGAACGCUGGCGGCGUGCUUAACACAUGCAAGUCGAACGAUGAAGCUCAGCUUGCUGGGUGGAUUAGUGGCGAACGGGUGAGUAACACGUGAGUAACCUGCCCUUAACUCUGGGAUAAGCCUGGGAAACUAGGUCUAAUACCGGAUAGGAGCGCCUACCGCAUGGUGGGUGUUGGAAAGAUUUAUCGGUGUUGGAUGGACUCGCGGCCUAUCAGCUUGUUGGUGAGGUAAUGGCUCACCAAGGCGACGACGGGUAGCCGGCCUGAGAGGGUGACCGGCCACACUGGGACUGAGACACGGCCCAGACUCCUACGGGAGGCAGCAGUGGGGAAUAUUGCACAAUGGGCGAAAGCCUGAUGCAGCGACGCCGCGUGAGGGAUGACGGCCUUCGGGUUGUAAACCUCUUUCAGUAGGGAAGAAGCGAAAGUGACGGUACCUGCAGAAGAAGCACCGGCUAACUACGUG